AACGCUAGCUACAGGCUUAACACAUGCAAGUCGAGGGGUACCAUGGUCAAAGCUUGCUUUGACUGAUGACGACCGGCGGAUGGGUGAGUAACACGUAUCCAACCUACCGUAUACACGGGGAUAGCCUUUCGAAAGAAAGAUUAAUACCCGAUGGUGUAAAGAGAUCCCCUGAUUUUUUUACUAAAGAUUUAUCGGUAUACGAUGGGGGUGCGUUCCAUUAGAUCGUUGGUAGGGUAACGGCCUACCAAGUCAACGAUGGAUAGGGGUUCUGAGAGGAAGAUCCCCCACAUUGGAACUGAGACACGGUCCAAACUCCUACGGGAGGCAGCAGUGAGGAAUAUUGGUCAAUGGACGCAAGUCUGAACCAGCCAAGUAGCGUGCAGGAUGACGGCCCUAUGGGUUGUAAACUGCUUUUAUGCGGGGAUAAAGUGUGCCAUGUAUGGCAUUUUGUAGGUACCGCAUGAAUAAGGACCGGCUAAUUCCGUGCCAGCAGCCGCGGUAAUACGGAAGGUCCGGGCGUUAUCCGGAUUUAUUGGGUUUAAAGGGAGCGUAGGCCGUCGNUUAAGCGUGUUGUGAAAUGCCGCGGCUCAACCGUGGCACUGCAGCGCGAACUGGAUGACUUGAGUUCGCGGGAGGUAGGCGGAAUUCGUGGUGUAUCGGUGAAAUGCUUAAUAUCACGAAAACUCCGAUUG
Molecule: ribosomal RNA, 692 nt
Filed under: uncultured bacterium
Lineage: Bacteria
Description: bacterial SSU rRNA
Rfam family: Bacterial small subunit ribosomal RNA
Source: RNAcentral